This 1002-nucleotide unclassified non-coding RNA is filed under the name Hevea brasiliensis (rubber tree). The record is from RNAcentral. Lineage: Eukaryota; Viridiplantae; Streptophyta; Magnoliopsida; Malpighiales; Euphorbiaceae.
GAAUCGAAGAAACUAAAUCAUAUAUUUCUUUUAAAUAUAAAAUCAAAAUUAAGAACUAAAUAAUAAUUUAUUUAAAAAAGAAAAAAGCAAUUUUACUUGGGAAAAAAAAAGCGCAUUUUAGCACCACCUUAGGCUUAGGUUUCUAGGAGAUAUACUGACAAAAGCAAGAAAUGAGAGAAUGCUCAUCACUUUCAAGACCCAAUUAACAAAAUUGGACCAAUCCCAAGUAUUUGCCGGUCAUCCUUCGACUUAGUAGCUAAUCAUAUGGCCACAGCUUCAAAACCAAAUUUUAUGGAUAGCCUUCUCUAAAAUGGAAAUGAGCUUAUCAAGAAAAUAGAAUGAUAACAAAAGUGGCUCCUCCUUUGAAAAUUCUCUAAUCAGACCCUCCAGAAACCCUACUUGGAGUAACUCCACUUGAUUCAGCAUUGAGAGUGCUGCUAGGGGCGACAGUAAGAUUCCCAACAUUGACAGUAUUGCUAGUUCCAGCACUUUUUGGCUCUGGAAUCAUUUUUUGGGCAGCUAGAGAAGUAUUAGCAUGUGAAACAGGGCCUGCUAUGACAACAUCAGCAUUUUGUUGCUUAUGCAUUGUUUUAGCAGCAGAAACAGUAAUACUUUGGAUGCUAGUUGUAGAAGGAUCCAUACUGGUUUUAUGCUGGUCACUAGUUCGCACGUCAUUCGCAGCAUGAAGUUGCUGCAGCCUAUAGUCUGUUUCAGGCCUACAACAAACCUUUCUGAGCGGCACAAUUUCCUGAGGAUCAAUAGAUAUUGAGAACUACACAAUUAACAACAUCACAAAAUGCAUUGUUAUGAUCAUUUAAGAACCAAAUAGACAUCACAGAUUACAGAAUGCAUCAUCAUUUGGAUGUUGCUGUCCUUAAACGAAUUGUAUUAUAGGCGAAACUUCUAUUAAGUCAAUAGCUACACACAUUCAAAAGGCUAAAUUGGUUGCACUGAUGCAUAAAAACAUAUUAUGGCUUCAGCACGAAACAGUACCCAUCAAAA